RNAcentral lists this ribosomal RNA (483 nucleotides) under uncultured bacterium. RNAcentral's name for it is "partial 16S ribosomal RNA". It matches the Rfam family "Bacterial small subunit ribosomal RNA", at positions 30 to 506 of the family's 1533-position model. The record is from RNAcentral.
AUUGAACGCUGGCGGCAGGCCUAACACAUGCAAGUCGAGCGGAUGAAGGGAGCUUGCUCCUGGAUUCAGCGGCGGACGGGUGAGUAAUGCCUAGGAAUCUGCCUGGUAGUGGGGGAUAAUGUCCGGAAACGGGCGCUAAUACCGCAUACGUCCUGAGGGAGAAAGUGGGGGAUCUUCGGACCUCACGCUAUCAGAUGAGCCUAGGUCGGAUUAGCUAGUUGGUGGGGUAAAGGCCUACCAAGGCGACGAUCCGUAACUGGUCUGAGAGGAUGAUCAGUCACACUGGAACUGAGACACGGUCCAGACUCCUACGGGAGGCAGCAGUGGGGAAUAUUGGACAAUGGGCGAAAGCCUGAUCCAGCCAUGCCGCGUGUGUGAAGAAGGUCUUCGGAUUGUAAAGCACUUUAAGUUGGGAGGAAGGGCAGUAAGUUAAUACCUUGCUGUUUUGACGUUACCAACAGAAGAAGCACCGGCUAACUUCGU